Molecule: ribosomal RNA, 253 nt
Filed under: uncultured bacterium
Lineage: Bacteria
Description: partial 16S ribosomal RNA
Rfam family: Bacterial small subunit ribosomal RNA
Source: RNAcentral
UACGUAGGGGGCAAGCGUUGUCCGGAAUCAUUGGGCGUAAAGGGCGCGUAGGCGGUCCUGUAAGUCCUGUGUGAAAUCCCUCGGCUCAACCGAGGAACUGCACAGGAAACUGCGGGACUUGAGUUCGGGAGAGGGAAGCGGAAUUCCGGGUGUAGCGGUGAAAUGCGUAGAUAUCCGGAGGAACACCGGUGGCGAAGGCGGCUUCCUGGACCGACACUGACGCUGAGGCGCGAAAGCCAGGGGAGCAAACGGG